This 499-nucleotide ribosomal RNA is filed under the name uncultured bacterium. RNAcentral's name for it is "bacterial SSU rRNA". It matches the Rfam family "Bacterial small subunit ribosomal RNA", at positions 8 to 518 of the family's 1533-position model. The record is from RNAcentral.
AGAGUUUGAUCAUGGCUCAGGAUGAACGCUGGCGGCGUGCCUAACACAUGCGAAGUCGAGCGGAGAUAGUUGAAGCCUAGCGAUGACUAUCUUAGCGGCGGAUGGGUGAGUAACACGUGGGUAACCUGCCCUGUACUGGGGAAUAACAGCUGGAAACGGCUGUUAAUGCCGCAUAUGCGCACGGAGCCGCAUGGCUCUGGGCGGAAAGAUUUAUCGGUACAGGAUGGGCCCGCGUCGGAUUAACUUGUUGGCGGGGUAACGGCCCACCAAGGUGAUGAUCCGUAGCCGACCUGAGAGGGUGACCGGCCACAUUGGGACUGAGACACGGCCCAAACUCCUACGGGAGGCAGCAGUGGGGGAUAUUGCACAAUGGGGGAAACCCUGAUGCAGCGACGCCGCGUGAAGGAUGACGUAUUUCGGUAUGUAAACUUCUAUCAGCGGGGAAGAAGAUGACGGUACCCGACUAAGAAGCCCCGGCUAACUACGUGCCAGCAGCCGC